CUGCCUCAGCGUCGGAG
Molecule: ribosomal RNA, 17 nt
Filed under: Bolbocoleon piliferum
Lineage: Eukaryota; Viridiplantae; Chlorophyta; Ulvophyceae; Ulvales; Bolbocoleonaceae
Description: partial 5.8S ribosomal RNA
Source: RNAcentral